This 459-nucleotide ribosomal RNA is filed under the name uncultured bacterium. RNAcentral's name for it is "partial 16S ribosomal RNA". It matches the Rfam family "Bacterial small subunit ribosomal RNA", at positions 338 to 795 of the family's 1533-position model. The record is from RNAcentral.
CCUACGGGCGGCAGCAGUGAGGAAUAUUGGUCAAUGGGCGCGAGCCUGAACCAGCCAAGUAGCGUGAAGGAUGACUGCCUACUGGUUGUAAACUUCUUUUUUAAAGGAAUAAAGUCAGGCCCGGGUGCCUUUUUUUCUUUACUUUAUUAAUAAGGAUCGGCUAACUCCGUUCCAGCAGCCGCGGUAAUACGGUGGAUCCGAGCGUUAUCCGGAUUUAUUGGGUUUAAAGGGAGCGUAGAUGGGUUGUUAAGUCAGGUGUGAAAGUUUGCGGCUCAACCGUAAAAUUGCAAUUGAUACUGGCAGUCUUGAGUACAGUUGAGGUAGGCGGAAUUCGUGGUGUAGUGGUGAAAUGCUUAGAUAUCACGAAGAACUCCGAUUGCGAAGGCAGCUUACUAAACUGCGACUGACAUUGAUGCUCGAAAGUGUGGGUAUCAAACAGGAUUAGAUACCCGGGUAGUC